RNAcentral lists this ribosomal RNA (253 nucleotides) under uncultured bacterium. Its description in RNAcentral is "partial 16S ribosomal RNA". It matches the Rfam family "Bacterial small subunit ribosomal RNA", at positions 524 to 776 of the family's 1533-position model. The record is from RNAcentral.
UACGUAGGGUCCGAGCGUUGUCCGGAGUUACUGGGCGUAAAGCGCACGUAGGCGGCUUUGUAAGUUAGAGGUGAAAGCCCGGGGCUCAACUCCGGAACUGCCUUUAAGACUGCAUCGCUUGAAUCCAGGAGAGGUGAGUGGAAUUCCGAGUGUAGAGGUGAAAUUCGUAGAUAUUCGGAAGAACACCAGUGGCGAAGGCGGCUCACUGGACUGGUAUUGACGCUGAGGUGCGAAAGCGUGGGGAGCAAACAGG